AGUGAACGCUGGCGGUAGGCCUAACACAUGCAAGUCGAACGGCAGCACAGUAAGAGCUUGCUCUUACGGGUGGCGAGUGGCGGACGGGUGAGGAAUACAUCGGAAUCUACUUUUUCGUGGGGGAUAACGGAGGGAAACUUACGCUAAUACCGCAUACGACCUACGGGUGAAAGCAGGGGAGCUUCGGACCUUGCGCGAUUGAAUGAGCCGAUGUCGGAUUAGCUAGUUGGCGGGGUAAAGGCCCACCAAGGCGACGAUCCGUAGCUGGUCUGAGAGGAUGAUCAGCCACACUGGAACUGAGACACGGUCCAGACUCCUACGGGAGGCAGCAGUGGGGAAUAUUGGACAAUGGGCGCAAGCCUGAUCCAGCCAUACCGCGUGGGUGAAGAAGGCCUUCGGGUUGUAAAGCCCUUUUGUUGGGAAAGAAAAGCAGCAGGUUAAUACCCCGCUGUUCUGACGGUACCCAAAGAAUAAGCACCGGCUAACUUCGUG
RNAcentral lists this ribosomal RNA (492 nucleotides) under uncultured bacterium. RNAcentral's name for it is "partial 16S ribosomal RNA". It matches the Rfam family "Bacterial small subunit ribosomal RNA", at positions 29 to 507 of the family's 1533-position model. The record is from RNAcentral.